RNAcentral lists this ribosomal RNA (476 nucleotides) under uncultured bacterium. RNAcentral describes it as "partial 16S ribosomal RNA". It matches the Rfam family "Bacterial small subunit ribosomal RNA", at positions 28 to 523 of the family's 1533-position model. The record is from RNAcentral.
GACGAACGCUGGCGGCGUGCUUAACACAUGCAAGUCGAGCGAGUGAGUUCUUCGGAACGAUCUAGCGGCGGACGGGUGAGUAACACGUGGGCAACCUGCCUCAUAGAGGGGAAUAGCCUCCCGAAAGGGAGAUUAAUACCGCAUAAAAUUAUCGAGUGGCAUCACACGAUAAUCAAAGGAGUAAUCCGCUAUGAGAUGGGCCCGCGGCGCAUUAGCUAGUUGGUGAGGUAACGGCUCACCAAGGCGACGAUGCGUAGCCGACCUGAGAGGGUGAUCGGCCACAUUGGGACUGAGACACGGCCCAGACUCCUACGGGAGGCAGCAGUGGGGAAUAUUGCACAAUGGGGGAAGCCCUGAUGCAGCAACGCCGCGUGAGUGAUGAAGGUCUUCGGAUUGUAAAGCUCUGUCUUUGGGGACGAUAAUGACGGUACCCAAGGAGGAAGCCACGACUAACUACGUGCCAGCCGCCGCGGUAA